GAUCAGUUCUCGGCUAUUGAUUUGUAUGCCCUAACCAUGACUGAGUUGUUGGCCUAGUGCCUAUGGCUAUCAAUCAUCGAGCCGCGGCCUGUUAACAUGGGCGACAAGUUCUGGGAUUGUCGCUACCAGGAAGCAAUGACCAGGCACCAGGCACCAGGCACCAGGAGGAGACCACCAGAGGCGCAACGGGCAACUGGUAAUGCCCUCUGAGACCGACUAGACCAGACUCCCGACCAUGUAAUUAACAGCACGCAAAAAGUGUUUGCGAAGCGUUUAUGGAAUGGGAUGGGGUUGGGAUGCUGCUGGACGCGGCUAUUGGAUAUGGGUGUCCCAUUGGCCGAAGGCGACACGCAUGUAAACAUUGCCAUUUUUGGCUAAAGACGCGACAGCUGCGCUGGACAUCGGGACUGGACUGCACAUAACCCUUUCCGAUUCGCAAUGCACGGAGAAAUAUUUUGGAAUUUAUAUAUAUAUCUUUGGAAUAUUUAAUGUGCUCUUGAGAAAUCCAUAUAACGUGUAUCCCUAGCAAGUAGCUUUAUAUUUAAUUUAAAAAUCCAUCGAUAUAUAUUCUUUCUUCGAAGUGGUGACUUAUGACAAACUGCUCAUAAUUCAAUUUUAACACUAUUAACUACAAUAAUAUGGAUUUUUUACAUCAAAUAUCAAAUGAUCUACUCUUUUCUCCGUGCAGUCCAUUCCUUUCCCAUCUGGGUGGCCAACUCGACAAAGACGAU
This is a long non-coding RNA of Drosophila subpulchrella, 731 nucleotides long. RefSeq lists it as uncharacterized. The record is from RefSeq and is a predicted model, not a curated record. The transcript has 3 exons. NCBI's taxonomy places the organism in Eukaryota, Metazoa, Arthropoda, Insecta, Diptera, Drosophilidae.